GGUCAGGUGCUUCCAUUCUGCCAUAUUGUGGAAGCUCCCAGCUAGCUAGACCCGCCCAGGUCCUGCGCCUGUCCUCUGUCGCGGAUUCCCCAUUCUCAUCAUCCCGAGGACUUUGCGGAGCUCUGUUCCUUACAGACCCGGGUUGGCUUGAUGGUGGUGAUUCCCAACUGAUCCAUCCUCCAGCAUUUCUGCUGAUGUUUAUUAAGCAGACAGCAUUAAUUAACAGACAGCUCUCCUUCAGGAGCCUUCUGCCUACCGCUCAAGCUUCCUUCACGAAACAAGUGACUCAUGAUAAAUCUCUGGCUGGACUUCCCCUUUCUCAAAACACAGGAAGUUUGUGUGUUGGCAAUCCCGCGGGUGAACAAUUUCAGCUCUGCUGUCAAUUUCACAAGAAGAGCACCUGGACAACACAAAGGGACCAAAGAAGUGUUUAUCUCAAAGUGAAUACGUGGGCAGUGGAAGGAGCAGUGGCCAAAUCAGGCGUCCCGGAGUCCAAACCGCCAGUCAAGUUAUAACAACUCAAGGGCCAGAGUCCCUUUCUUGCUGUGUAAUAAAGGAGCCUUAGAACAAAGACUCCUGAGUUCUGGCUCCAGACUCCCUA
This 601-nucleotide long non-coding RNA is filed under the name Fukomys damarensis (Damara mole-rat). RNAcentral's name for it is "lncRNA (ENSFDAG00000021937.1)". Lineage: Eukaryota; Metazoa; Chordata; Mammalia; Rodentia; Bathyergidae. The record is from RNAcentral.